GGCGGACGGGUGAGUAACGCGUAGGAAUCUGCCUACUAGCGGGGGAUAGCCCGAAGAAAUUCGGAUUAAUACCGCAUAAGCCCUACGGGGGAAAGCUGGGGAUCUUCGGACCUGGCACUAGUAGAUGAGCCUGCGUUAGAUUAGCUUGUUGGUGGGGUAAUGGCCUACCAAGGCGACGAUCUAUAGCUGGUCUGAGAGGACGAUCAGCCACACUGGGACUGAGACACGGCCCAG
Molecule: ribosomal RNA, 234 nt
Filed under: uncultured bacterium
Lineage: Bacteria
Description: partial 16S ribosomal RNA
Rfam family: Bacterial small subunit ribosomal RNA
Source: RNAcentral